RNAcentral lists this ribosomal RNA (991 nucleotides) under uncultured bacterium. Its description in RNAcentral is "bacterial SSU rRNA". It matches the Rfam family "Bacterial small subunit ribosomal RNA", at positions 32 to 1064 of the family's 1533-position model. The record is from RNAcentral.
GGCGUUCGGGCGGAUGCUUACACAUGCAGUCGAACGGACUCUUCGGAGUUAGUGGCGGACGGGUGAGUAACGCGUGAGAAUCUGCCUUUAGGUCGGGGACAACAGUUGGAAACGACUGCUAAUACCGGAUGUGCAGCAAUGUGAAAGAUUUAUUGCCUAAAGAUGAGCUCGCGUCUGAUUAGCUAGUAGGUGUGGUAAUGGCGCACCUAGGCGACGAUCAGUAACUGGUCUGAGAGGAUGACCAGUCACACUGGGACUGAGACACGGCCCAGACUCCUACGGGAGGCAGCAGUGGGGAAUUUUCCGCAAUGGGCGAAAGCCUGACGGAGCAAUACCGCGUGAGGGACGACGGCUUUUGGGUUGUAAACCUCUUUUCCCUGGGAAGAAGAUCUGACGGUACCAGGGGAAUCAGCAUCGGCUAACUUCGUGCCAGCAGCCGCGGUAAUACGAGGGAUGCAAGCGUUAUCCGGAAUUAUUGGGCGUAAAGCGUCCGCAGGUGGCUUUGUAAGUCUGUCGUUAAAGCGUGGAGCUCAACUCCAUAUCGGCGAUGGAAACUACAAGACUAGAGUUUGGUAGGGGUCACGGGAAUUCCUAGUGUAGCGGUGAAAUGCGUAGAUAUUAGGAAGAACACCAGCGGCGAAAGCGCGUGACUGGGCCAAUACUGACACUCAUGGACGAAAGCUAGGGGAGCGAAAGGGAUUAGAUACCCCUGUAGCCCUAGCCGUAAACGAUGAUAACUAGGUGUUGCUCGUAUCGACCCGAGCAGUGCCGUAGCCAACGCGUUAAGUUAUCCGCCUGGGGAGUACGCACGCAAGUGUGAAACUCAAAGGAAUUGACGGGGGCCCGCACAGCGGUGGAAAUUAUUUUGGUUUAAUUCGAUGCAACGCGAAGAACCUUACCAAGGCUUGACAUGUCGCGAAUUCCCUUGAAAAGGGGGAAGUGCCUUCGGGAGCGCGAACACAGGUGGUUGCAUGGCUGUCGUCAGCUCGUG